RNAcentral lists this ribosomal RNA (518 nucleotides) under uncultured bacterium. RNAcentral's name for it is "bacterial SSU rRNA". It matches the Rfam family "Bacterial small subunit ribosomal RNA", at positions 28 to 526 of the family's 1533-position model. The record is from RNAcentral.
GACGAACGCUGGCGGCGUGCCUAAUACAUGCAAGUCGAGCGGAUCAAUGGGGAGCUUGCUCCCCUGAGAUCAGCGGCGGACGGGUGAGUAACACGUGGGCAACCUGCCUGUAAGACUGGGAUAACUCCGGGAAACCGGGGCUAAUACCGGAUAACAUUUUCCACCUCAUGGUGGAAAAUUAAAAGAUGGCUUCGGCUAUCACUUACAGAUGGGCCCGCGGCGCAUUAGCUAGUUGGUGAGGUAAGGGCUCACCAAGGCGACGAUGCGUAGCCGACCUGAGAGGGUGAUCGGCCACACUGGGACUGAGACACGGCCCAGACUCCUACGGGAGGCAGCAGUAGGGAAUCUUCGGCAAUGGACGAAAGUCUGACCGAGCAACGCCGCGUGAGCGAUGAAGGCCUUCGGGUCGUAAAGCUCUGUUGUUAGGGAAGAACAAGUACCGUUCGAAUAGGGCGGUACCUUGACGGUACCUAACCAGAAAGCCACGGCUAACUACGUGCCAGCAGCCGCGGUAAAAC